RNAcentral lists this ribosomal RNA (497 nucleotides) under uncultured bacterium. Its description in RNAcentral is "partial 16S ribosomal RNA". It matches the Rfam family "Bacterial small subunit ribosomal RNA", at positions 28 to 507 of the family's 1533-position model. The record is from RNAcentral.
GAUGAACGCUGGCGGCGUGCCUAAUACAUGCAAGUCGAGCGAACAGACGAGGAGCUUGCUCCUCUUACGUUAGCGGCGGACGGGUGAGUAACACGUUGAUAACCUACCUAUAAGACUGGGAUAACUUCGGGAAACCGGAGCUAAUACCGGAUAAUAUAUUGAACCGCAUGGUUCAAUAGUGAAAGACGGUUUUGCUGUCACUUAUCGAUUGAUCCGCGCCGCAUUAGCUAGUUGGUAAGGUAACGGCUUACCAAGGCAACGAUGCGUAGCCGACCUGAGAGGGUGAUCGGCCACACUGGAACUGAGACACGGUCCAGACUCCUACGGGAGGCAGCAGUAGGGAAUCUUCCGCAAUGGGCGAAAGCCUGACGGAGCAACGCCGCGUGAGUGAUGAAGGUCUUCGGAUCGUAAAACUCUGUUAUUAGGGAAGAACAAAUGUGUAAGUAACUAUGCACGUCUUGACGGUACCUAAUCAGAAAGCCACGGCUAACUACGUG